CCUACGGGAGGCAGCAGUGGGGGAUAUUGCACAAUGGGGGAAACCCUGAUGCAGCGACGCCGCGUGUGGGAAGACGGUCCUCUGGAUUGUAAACCACUGUCCCCAGGGACGAAGAUGACGGUACCUGGGGAGGAAGCUCCGGCUAACUACGUGCCAGCAGCCGCGGAAAUACGUAGGGAGCGAGCGUUGUCCGGAAUUACUGGGUGUAACGGGAGCGUAGGCGGGACUGCAAGUUGGGUGUCAAAUCUACCGGCUCAACCGGUAGCCGCACUCAAAACUGCAGUUCUUGAGUGAAGUAGAGGCCGGCGGAAUUCCUAGUGUAGCGGUGAAAUGCGUAGAUAUUAGGAGGAACACCAGUGGCGAAGGCGGCCUGCUGGGCUUUUACUGACGCUGAGGCUCGAAAGUGUGGGGAGCAAACAGGAUUAGAUACCCUUGUAGUC
Molecule: ribosomal RNA, 440 nt
Filed under: uncultured bacterium
Lineage: Bacteria
Description: partial 16S ribosomal RNA
Rfam family: Bacterial small subunit ribosomal RNA
Source: RNAcentral